AACGAACGCUGGCGGCAUGCCUAAUACAUGCAAGUCGAACGAUCACUUCGGUGAUAGUGGCGCACGGGUGCGUAACGCGUGGGAAUCUGCCCUUGGGUUCGGAAUAACAGCUGGAAACGGCUGCUAAUACCGGAUGAUGACGUAAGUCCAAAGAUUUAUCGCCCAGGGAUGAGCCCGCGUAGGAUUAGGUAGUUGGUGGGGUAAAGGCCUACCAAGCCUACGAUCCUUAGCUGGUCUGAGAGGAUGAUCAGCCACACUGGGACUGAGACACGGCCCAGACUCCUACGGGAGGCAGCAGUAGGGAAUAUUGGACAAUGGGGGCAACCCUGAUCCAGCAAUGCCGCGUGAGUGAUGAAGGCCUUAGGGUUGUAAAGCUCUUUUACCCGGGAUGAUAAUGACAGUACCGGGAGAAUAAGCCCCGGCUAACUCCGUGCCAGCAGCCGCCGUAA
RNAcentral lists this ribosomal RNA (449 nucleotides) under uncultured bacterium. RNAcentral's name for it is "partial 16S ribosomal RNA". It matches the Rfam family "Bacterial small subunit ribosomal RNA", at positions 29 to 523 of the family's 1533-position model. The record is from RNAcentral.